Long non-coding RNA from Oncorhynchus keta (chum salmon), 791 nucleotides. RefSeq lists it as uncharacterized. The record is from RefSeq and is a predicted model, not a curated record. NCBI's taxonomy places the organism in Eukaryota, Metazoa, Chordata, Actinopteri, Salmoniformes, Salmonidae. The transcript is spliced from 2 exons.
CGUCAUUGUAUCAUUUCAAAUCCAAAGUGCUGGAGUACAGAGCCAAAACAACCAAAAAUGUGUCACUGUCCCAAUACUUUUGGAGCUCACUGUAUAUGUAAUAUAUGACCUGUGCAUCUCAUUCCACUAGUGGAUUCCAAAAAGCUGUCUACUGGACUGUGUAUCCUUGUGGGAGUGGCCCCUACCCCUAACCUAACAUCCGAGUUAUUUUCUUACUAUGUUAGCCAAAAGGAUUUCAGCAGAACCCCCUGCUCCCCCUCUACUCUCCCUCCCUCCACCCCUCCACAUCACGCUUAAUUUAAACCCAUGGCUGAGUUAGUGUGCUGCUUGAAAUACCACACUAUUUCUCCCAGAACCCUGUGGGAGAUUGGCGGGUCCCGGCUGGACUGAGCGAAAGAGAAAAAGUGCCACAAGACAAAAAUAUCAGACUUUGGGACGUGAUGAAGAAAGCCUUUAUACUGCGAGAAACAAAAAACUGCUUGUGUUGCAAUGCACACCUCCUAGGAUUGAAGAGGUAUUCCCCCUCGUUCUGGACCAGUGCUACCUCCAGACCAUUGACUGCAUCCAGAAACUAAAGUCAACAACCCAAGCUGUGAACGCAGAGGUUAAAGUUAGCCGUCAGUAUUUGAGGGAUACUGUGUAUGUGUGCGUGUGUGAACAUUUCUCUAGGCCCUGAAAACGAACGGACAGUAUGUGUGCCCCUCUAUGAGUCCAUUCAUUCCCACUGUAGCAACUUUCUCAUUUACAUGCAAUGGAAAGAAAAUAAACACGCUGCUUCAGCUGACUCCUAA